AAGCUCGUAGUUGAAUUUCGGGGUUAGUAGGUUGGUCAUGCCUCUGGUAUGUACUGGUCUCACUGAUUCCUCCUUCCUUAUGAACCGUAAUGCCAUUAAUUUGGUGUUGCGGGGAAUUUGGACUGUUACUUCGAAAAAAUUAGAGUGUUUAAAGCAAGCUAACGCUUGAAUACAUUAGCAUGGAAUAGUGAAAUAGGACGUUCGAUCUUAUUUUGUUGGUUUCUAGGAUUGACGUAAUGAUUAAGGGUAGGAUAGUUGGG
RNAcentral lists this ribosomal RNA (260 nucleotides) under uncultured Glomus. Its description in RNAcentral is "partial 18S ribosomal RNA". It matches the Rfam family "Eukaryotic small subunit ribosomal RNA", at positions 624 to 888 of the family's 1831-position model. The record is from RNAcentral. Lineage: Eukaryota; Fungi; Glomeromycota; Glomeromycetes; Glomerales; Glomeraceae.